Oreochromis aureus is the source of this 1527-nucleotide long non-coding RNA. Lineage: Eukaryota; Metazoa; Chordata; Actinopteri; Cichliformes; Cichlidae. The record is from Ensembl.
ACAGGUGUGGUGGAGGUGACUCUGGACGUACUAGUUUGAAGCGUGCUUGUUGCUGGAGUGGUGGUGCUUGUUGCUGUGGGGCUGGCAGUGGUGGUUUUGGUGGUUGUAGCAGGAGAUGGUGUAGCAGUCGUAGGUGGGGUGGUUGUAGCAGGAGAUGGUGUAGCAGUCGUAGGUGGGGUGGUUGUAGCAGGAGAUGGUGUAGCAGUCGUAGGUGGGGUGGUUGUAGCAGGAGAUGCUGUAGCAGUCGUAGGUGGGGUGGUUGUAGCAGGAGAUGCUGUAGCAGUCGUAGGUGGGGUGGUUGUAGCAGGAGAUGCUGUAGCAGUCGUAGGUGGGGUGGUUGUAGCAGGAGAUGCUGUAGCAGUCGUAGGUGGGGUGGUUGUUGCGGACGUUGUUAUGAUGCUCGUGGUGGUUGUAGUAUCUGCAGUUGUAACUGGGAAACUAUCACCGGAAGUGGUGGGUGGUGUGGUUUUGGUGACUGUGGUAUGAGAUGGUGACAUGGAUGUAGGUGUAGUUGCUGAUGUUGUUAUGAAUAGUAUGGGUGCAGUCUCAGUGGUUGUGGUGGGGGUGGUGGUACUGGCAGUGGUAGGUGUGGUUUUGACGGCUGUGGUUAGAGACGGCUUCGUGGCUGUGGGUAUGGGUAUGGUUCCUGCAGUUGUAGCGGGAGUGGAGGCACCAGUGGACGUUUGGAUGGUAUGUGUCAAGCUGGCUGUUCUAGCUGGCGGAGGGAUGGUUGUGUGUGUAGUUGCUGGUGUUGUUAUGGGUGGUGCGACUGUAGUCUCUGCGGUUGUGACAGGGGUGGUGCUACUGGCGGCUGUAGGAGAUGUGGUUUUGAUGGCUGUGGUUGGAGCAGGUGCUGUUAUGCUGCUCCGAGAGGGUGUGGUUACAGCAGCGGUGGUGCUGAUGUUUGUUGUACUCGUUUGUGGGACUGAUGGAGCUGAGGUGCUACUUGCAGUGACUGCAUCACCUGUUGGUGCUGUUGAUAAUACUCCUUGAGUCAGACUCUCUGAGAUGUUUGGAUGAAGGGUGGAGUCUGUGUGUGUGGGUGGGGUCUGGCCGUGAGUCCUGGGUGGUCUAUGUGUGCUGGUGCUGGAUGCAGACGGUGGAGGAGUGGUGGUGGUGGGUGCAGCUGAGGCGGUGCUGUCUGAGGAUGCUGCAGAUGUUUGGUGUGUGGAUCCAUCCUCAGGUUGUAACUCAGUUAUGACGUCUGUUGCUCCACCUGUGCUCACACGUGAGGAACCCAGCGUCAUGCCUUCACCUCCGCUCGACUUGGACUGGUUUCUAGUGAUGGAGGACCAUGACUUGUACGACGACGUGACCACCUCCGUCCUGACUAGGGAGUCACCUCCACCUGACGAGGUCUCCGAGGCGAGUGACUGGUCGGUGGUAAAAGCAGCUGUGCCAUUUAAAGGGGAUAGGUGGGUGACUGCAGGGGAAACAUCUGGAGGUGACAGAUUGUCCGUGACAGCGUUCCCAGGACGCCUGAUGGUUUGGGCGGAGUUAGACAGGUCCAGCGGUGUGGAUGAAGAA